Molecule: regulatory RNA element, 92 nt
Organism: Limnohabitans sp. 63ED37-2
Lineage: Bacteria; Pseudomonadati; Pseudomonadota; Betaproteobacteria; Burkholderiales; Comamonadaceae
Rfam family: SAH (S-adenosyl-L-homocysteine) riboswitch aptamer
Source: Rfam
UUUUCCGAGGAGCGUUGCAGCGCCCACCAGCCAACUGGCUGGCAGCAGGCGUGAGGCUCGGAACCUUCAAACAGCAACGACGCUCAUCCACU